Long non-coding RNA from Suricata suricatta (meerkat), 631 nucleotides. RefSeq lists it as uncharacterized. The record is from RefSeq and is a predicted model, not a curated record. The transcript is spliced from 5 exons. Lineage: Eukaryota; Metazoa; Chordata; Mammalia; Carnivora; Herpestidae.
GGGGAUUCACCGCCUCCCAGAAGCCGGCCUCUCGCGGGGCGGUGCCUCUCGCCCCCAGCCUUAGCUCCCGGCCGCCAGGCAGCGCGGCGUCCUGAAGGGCGGGCCCGGCAGGCGCCACCUUUGAAGUGCAGACCCUGCCCAGGCGGAGGUCCGGACCCAGGCGUACCUGAUAGGAGCCGCCGGUCAGGGCCAGCUCCGCUAGGACCGCUCGGCCAUUAGCAAUACAGCUACCCUGGGACCUGGCUUUGGGAAUUCAUAUUCUGGGAGUGGUUACAGAAGCAUUUGCAGACAGACGCCAAUCUCGAGUGGCGGGUCACUGAAUGAAGAGCACUGGUCACAUUGUUUGUAUGUGGGGAAAAUGAAAUAUGAGUAUUAACCAUCAAUGAGAUACACAAGCGGUCAUGAAUCCCUUUCAGGAUGUAGCAACCAGCACAUACUUGAUCCUUGUUGGAGCUAUGCAGGCUAUUGGUCAACCUUCGGGGUUACAGACUCACUGAAGACUGCUGAGGAUAACCCAGAAGCCAAAGGAUUUAUUAUUAUUCCUCAAGCCACUUGGACUUAAACUAAAUAUUAAGAAAAUUCAAAAUUCAAAAUAAACCAUGAUGAGGUCACCAUUUUUCCUAAUGUCCUA